CCGAGUUAUACAACUCAUCAACCCUGUGAACAUACCUAUAACGUUGCCUCGGCGGGAACAGACGGCCCCGUAACACGGGCCGCCCCCGCCAGAGGACCCCCUAACUCUGUUUCUAUAAUGUUUCUUCCGAGUAAACAAGCAAAUAAAUUA
RNAcentral lists this unclassified non-coding RNA (150 nucleotides) under soil metagenome. RNAcentral's name for it is "partial internal transcribed spacer 1". The record is from RNAcentral.